GGGCUUCGGUUUUGUUGAGAGAAAGAAAUUGAACCCUAAUUCCUGUGUCCGAAGGUCAGGAAGGGAGAAGGAAAAAAUGGCACGUGUCCUCUCUGUAACCAUCUAAAACUCUUUUCUAUUCACUUCUUUCGACCAUAACGAUCUCUUUUCUUUCUCUGAAACCGUAGACGACCGAGCUUCCAUGCAUUCACGAUAAGCCAUCAACUCAAGCUUUAAAUCAGGUCUCAUAAACUCUUUUCUCCUCAUUUAUCAUCUGCAAAAAAAAUUUAUAUACAGUGAGCAUUUGAUUUGCUUCAGAUCUGAAAAGGCUGUCGGCCCCAAUAUCAACUCCUAUACCGCUUAAGAAUCGUUUGAUUGGAAGAGGCAGUAUUUAAGGCUCUUCAAAAAGAAACAAACUUCAAUACUUCAAGCGAUUCGCUUUUUGAGGGUAGAUGGAAAAUUAACGGCAAGUCUUAGAAAGAAUUUGACUUAGAAUGUUGAACAAGUUCAAACAUUCCAAGGCAGAACAAACCACUUUGGCCUCUAAACUACCUUCUUCCCAACUUAAUUAUCCACAACAACACAAUCACAGGAAAAGUAA
Brassica napus (rape) is the source of this 580-nucleotide long non-coding RNA. RefSeq lists it as uncharacterized. Lineage: Eukaryota; Viridiplantae; Streptophyta; Magnoliopsida; Brassicales; Brassicaceae. The transcript has 3 exons. The record is from RefSeq and is a predicted model, not a curated record.